CUCAUGCCGCGUGAGUGAAGAAGGCCUUCGGGUUGUAAAGCUCUUUUGUCAGGAAGAAACACCGGCUCUAACACAGUUCGGGAAUGACGGUACCUGAAGAAUAAGCACCGGCUAACUACGUGCCAGCAGCCGCGGUAAUACGUAGGGUGCGAGCGUUAAUCGGAAUUACUGGGCGUAAAGCGUGCGCAGGCGGUUAUACAAGACAGGCGUGAAAUCCCCGGGCUUAACCUGGGAAUGGCGCCUGUGACUGUAUGGCUAGAGUGUGUCAGAGGGGGGUAGAAUUCCACGUGUAGCAGUGAAAUGCGUAGAUAUGUGGAGGAAUACCAAUGGCGAAGGCAGCCCCCUGGGAUAACACUGACGCUCAUGCACGAAAGCGUGGGGAGCAAACAGGAUUAGAUACCCUGGUAGUCCACGCCCUAAACGAUGCUGACUAGUCGUUCGGGAUUUACAUCCUGGGUAACGUAGCUAACGCGUGAAGUCAGCCG
RNAcentral lists this ribosomal RNA (485 nucleotides) under uncultured bacterium. RNAcentral's name for it is "bacterial SSU rRNA". It matches the Rfam family "Bacterial small subunit ribosomal RNA", at positions 391 to 871 of the family's 1533-position model. The record is from RNAcentral.